Molecule: non-coding RNA, 71 nt
Organism: Ictidomys tridecemlineatus (thirteen-lined ground squirrel)
Lineage: Eukaryota; Metazoa; Chordata; Mammalia; Rodentia; Sciuridae
Source: Rfam
GAGGUUGUGGCUCAGUGGUAGAGCGCUCACUUUGCAUGUGCAAGGCUCUGGGUUCGAUCCUCAGCACCACA